RNAcentral lists this long non-coding RNA (2588 nucleotides) under Gossypium barbadense (sea-island cotton). Its description in RNAcentral is "long non-coding RNA (GBAR_LNC012633)". The record is from RNAcentral. Lineage: Eukaryota; Viridiplantae; Streptophyta; Magnoliopsida; Malvales; Malvaceae.
UUCUUGGCUGAUCCCUUUCGCUGUAUGGCGUGCUCGUUUGGGUUGGGCGUCGGCUAAGAGUGCUCGGAGCGUGGAUUAACUCCAGUCUCCUAUCAGGUGUGUAUUUCUUACUACUCUAGCUGUAGGAUGGCUACUUGAGGCCGCGAUGGGCCGAAAGGGGUCAUGUGGGCCUAAUGGGCCUACGGGCCGAAUUGGAUAAGUUGUUUGAUUGUGUAGUAAAUAUUGGGCUAGGCUAGGUGAAUCUAAUAUUUGUGGCUAGAUUUGGGCUAAAAGGGCCACACGAGCGUGUGGGCCCAUUUGGGCCGAGAAUGGGCUUUAUGGCCAUUAGUAUUGUUAUCCAUAUUUAGAAUACUUUAGUUUACCAAUUAUUGUAAUACCCUCAACUUGUAAAAUUACCAAAGUACCCCCGAUUUACAUAAUUACCAUUUUACCCUCGAUUUAUAAAAUUAUCGUUUUACCCUCGAUUUAUAGAAUUACUAUUUUACCCUUGAUUUACAGAAUUACUAUUUUACCCUCGAUUUACAAAAUUACUAAAAUACCCUUGGUUUACAAAAUUACCAAAAUACCCUCAAUCAGUAAAAUUACCAAAAUACCCUGGUCUGUAAAAUUGCUAAAAUACCCCUGGUUUGUAAAAUUACCAAAAUACCCCUAGUUUGUAAAAUUACCAACAUACCACUGGUUUGUGAAAUUAUCGAAAUACCCUUAAUUUGUAAAAUUACAAAAAUACCUCUGAUUUACAAAAUUAUAGAAAUACCCUUGACUUUCUAAAAAUUAUAGAAAUACCAUUGGUUUACAAAAUUACUGAAAUACCCUUGGUUUGUAGAUUUACCAAAACACCCUUGUAGGGUGAAAUGACUAAAAUACCCCUAUUAGGUAAAAAGAUCGUAAAGCCCCUGUAGGGUAAAGUGACCGUAAAGCCCCUGUAGGGUAAAGUGACCGUAAUACCCCUGUAUGGUAAAAUGACGAAUAUACCCUUAUGUUCCGUAUGACUGAUGUGCUUAGGAUUUACAUAUAUUGAUAUUGGACUAGUUAAGUUUGAGUGAUAGGUGGUGGUUAUCUAGGUGAUUGAUUUUGGAAACAUUUCAACUUCAACCCGUAACAGGUGUGUACUAACCCUCAUAAUAGCUUAGAUUAAUAUUUGCUGAGAAGCCGAAAUGCUAAAAUACUAGUAUUUUGGGAACUUGUAAUGUUGCGUUUGGGUAUAGAUGCGAUAAAUACGAUAAGAUCGGUGUUUGGAUCGAUGGAACAUGUAAGAACUCAAUUUUUUACACGAUGGUAAGUUGGGCCUCAAUGGGCUGGAAUCGGGCCCAUUUGGGUAAAACUGAUAGAAAAUGGAAUUUGGAAAAGUUGCAUGUUAACACGGUUAGUACUGUUGUAAAAUUUAGAUUAUGUGGGCUUAAUGGGCUAAAUCGGCAUUCGUAGGGCCCAUUAGAGGUUUUGGGCCCAAAAGCCUGAGUUUGAUAAAGUGGGUUAAAGAUCAUUGUUUAAACACUCGGAAAUAUUGAUAAUUUUUGAUGAACAUUGAAAACCCUGAUAUUUGGUAAAAUUACGAAAUUACCCUUAUAAUGGGAAAAAUGACUAUUUUGCCCUUGUGGGCAAGUGACUGACUUGGACUGUGUGGUUGACGGAUUUGAUUGUGAAUAUAUGUUGGUGAUAUGAAUGACUUGACUGUGAUUGUUUGAUUCAAAUAUGGGCAUGACAUUCUGCAUAUAUGACAUGUUGCAUGGGUUGGGUUUUAUAAAUGGAGGAAGUGCUAAAAGGGCUAUCCCCCAGUUUACCGAAAAGGGCUUUGCCCUAGUUUAUCAAAAGGGCUUUGCCCCAGUUAUUAAAAGAGGCUAGGCCUCCAGAUAUAUGAUAAAGCAGCUAUGCUGCCAGUGGUGUGUUGGUUGGGUGGGUUGAAUCAUUCCCCAUACGGUUUGUUGGUUGGUACGGGUGGAGAGUAGCGGAUGGUGGGUCGAGUAGUCUCCCCAAAUGGGCUUGCAUACAUCCAUUGACAUUACAUGUGAUAUUGAAAUGGGCCUAAGGGCCAUACCGUUUACAGUAAAGGCUUCGGCCUAGUGAUAUGAUUUAUGAAAAGGCUUCGGCCCAGAGAUAUGAUUUAUGAUAAGGCUUCGGCCCAGUGAUAUGAUUUAUGAUAAGGCUUCGGCCCAGUAAUAUGAUUUAUGAUAAGGCUUUGGCCCAGUGAUAUGAUUUAUGAAAAGGCUUCAGCCCAGUAACCGUUAAACGAAAAGCUUCGGCCCAGUAUAUGCCAAGACUAAAAAGAGCUUUGGCCCAGAUUGUACUGACACUGUGUUUUCACUGUUUGUUUGUUCUUGGGAUUACACACUGAGUUUUCGUAAACUCACCUCGUUUCUAACUAUGCAGGUAAUCCCUAAGUUUAGAUGGUUUGGAGCUGCGAGGGACUCGGAGAUGGCCACACUACUGUUUCUGGUUCUUUAAAUUGCAAUAAGUAGCUGAUUUAUUUCUUUAUAAGUUUUAUCUUAUUAAUAUUAUUAUUUGUUUUUGGGUUGUAAUAAGGCCAUUUUAAUUAUUUUUCUGGGAUUAUUUUAUUUUAUACCCUAUAUUUUUUUUAUAACAAUAUAAAUUAG